This 73-nucleotide transfer RNA is filed under the name Ixodes scapularis (black-legged tick). RNAcentral's name for it is "tRNA-Ser for anticodon GGA". It matches the Rfam family "tRNA". From Rfam's summary of the family: Transfer RNA (tRNA) molecules are approximately 80 nucleotides in length. Their secondary structure includes four short double-helical elements and three loops (D, anti-codon, and T loops). Lineage: Eukaryota; Metazoa; Arthropoda; Arachnida; Ixodida; Ixodidae. The record is from RNAcentral.
GGUGGAGUGGUGUAGAGGUUAGCACACUCGACCGGACAUUGGGAAGCCCAGAGUUCAAAUCCUGGCUCCGCCG